GACAGAGGUGGCAAGCGUUGUUCGGAAUUACUGGGCGUAAAGAGUCUGUAGGUGGUUUGUCAAGUCUUUGGUGAAAGGCCGUAGCUUAACUAUGGGAAUGCCAAAGAGACUGGCAGGCUGGAGGCUGGGAGAGGGAAGCGGAAUUUCUGGUGUAGCGGUGAAAUGCGUAGAUAUCAGAAGGAAGGCCGGUGGCGAAGGCGGCUUCCUGGAACAGUCCUGACACUGAGAGACGAAAGCGUGGGGAGCAAACAGG
RNAcentral lists this ribosomal RNA (253 nucleotides) under uncultured bacterium. Its description in RNAcentral is "partial 16S ribosomal RNA". It matches the Rfam family "Bacterial small subunit ribosomal RNA", at positions 524 to 776 of the family's 1533-position model. RNAcentral also lists the same sequence under 1 other name. The record is from RNAcentral.